Molecule: ribosomal RNA, 429 nt
Filed under: Bacteroidota bacterium
Lineage: Bacteria; Pseudomonadati; Bacteroidota
Description: Bacteroidetes bacterium partial 16S ribosomal RNA
Rfam family: Bacterial small subunit ribosomal RNA
Source: RNAcentral
UAGGGAAUCUUCCGCAAUGGACGCAAGUCUGACGGAGCAACGCCGCGUGAGUGAAGAAGGCUUUCGGUUCGUAAAACUCUGUUGUUAGAGAAGAACAGCGCAUAGAGUAACUGUUAUGCGUGUGACGGUAUCUAACCAGAAAGCCACGGCUAACUACGUGCCAGCAGCCGCGGUAAUACGUAGGUGGCAAGCGUUGUCCGGAUUUAUUGGGCGUAAAGCGAGCGCAGGCGGUCAAUUAAGUCUGAUGUGAAAGCCCCCGGCUCAACCGGGGAGGGUCAUUGGAAACUGGUUGACUUGAGUGGAGAAGAGGAGAGUGGAAUUCCGUGUGUAGCGGUGAAAUGCGUAGAUAUAUGGAGGAACACCAGUGGGGAAGGCGACUCUCUGGUAUGUAACUGGCGCAAAGGCUCGAAAGCGUGGGUAGCAAACAGG